RNAcentral lists this ribosomal RNA (615 nucleotides) under uncultured bacterium. RNAcentral's name for it is "bacterial SSU rRNA". It matches the Rfam family "Bacterial small subunit ribosomal RNA", at positions 10 to 607 of the family's 1533-position model. The record is from RNAcentral.
AGUUUGAUCCUGGCUCAGGAUGAACGCUGGCGGCGUGCCUAAUACAUGCAAGUCGAACGCACAGCGAAAGGUGCUUGCACCUUUCGAGUGAGUGGCGAACGGGUGAGUAACACGUGGACAACCUGCCUCAAGGCUGGGGAUAACAUUUGGAAACAGAUGCUAAUACCGAAUAAAACUCAGUGUCGCAUGACACAAAGUUAAAAGGCGCUUUGGCGUCACCUAGAGAUGGAUCCGCGGUGCAUUAGUUAGUUGGUGGGGUAAAGGCCUACCAAGACAAUGAUGCAUAGCCGAGUUGAGAGACUGAUCGGCCACAUUGGGACUGAGACACGGCCCAAACUCCUACGGGAGGCUGCAGUAGGGAAUCUUCCACAAUGGGCGAAAGCCUGAUGGAGCAACGCCGCGUGUGUGAUGAAGGCUUUCGGGUCGUAAAGCACUGUUGUAUGGGAAGAACAGCUAGAAUAGGGAAUGAUUUUAGUUUGACGGUACCAUACCAGAAAGGGACGGCUAAAUACGUGCCAGCAGCCGCGGUAAUACGUAUGUCCCGAGCGUUAUCCGGAUUUAUUGGGCGUAAAGCGAGCGCAGACGGUUGAUUAAGUCUGAUGUGAAAGCCCGGAG